Molecule: long non-coding RNA, 1645 nt
Filed under: Equus caballus (horse)
Lineage: Eukaryota; Metazoa; Chordata; Mammalia; Perissodactyla; Equidae
Description: lncRNA (ENSECAG00000049018.1)
Source: RNAcentral
GGAGAUUUCCGUCCAAGUCUGUUUUCAGAUUUGGGAAGGCAGCUCGGUGCAUCUGUGGGGCAUCAAAUGGACAGGCCUUUUACCACGUGUAAUCUACCUGUUUGGAACCUCAGUUUCCCCAUCUGCAAAAUGGGAGUAGUCGUGAGAAUUAAAGUAAGAAAAGGGAGAUAUUUUCUACGCGAUAGAGAUAUUUUGUAAAUAAUACACUUCUUUCUUCUUGGAGGUAAAGCAGGGGAUGAAGAGUCAAAGCACCAGAAGCACAGCUGUCCUGCCAGCCCCUAAGUCAGCUCCAAGGGUGAGAAAUAGGAUGCAUUUCAGCCCCGAGGAAUGAACUCCUGGGACGUAUGUCUGUCAGGCAGAGUCUGGAGCACUUCCUAGAAAUCUUGACCUGUCGCCGUCAGUGGGGAAGGCUAAUUAAAGGAAAUAAAAGGCUGGUAGCCAGGAGAUUCCAACGUGCUGAGAAAACAAAGGCAGCCAACCUGCGAACUGCGAAGUCAGCUCUCAGCUUUGCCCCUGCCCCGCUCCCUCCACCACCCACCCAAACGCUCGCUCGUUUCUUCACCGGAUUUCCAGAUUUUGCACUACCAACCUACUCUUUGUUUACCCUGAUGGAUCAGCGGAGACAACCUUUGCAUAGGAGGCUAAUGCAGUAACCGAGGCCUCCGAGGCCAGCUCCCUCAACGGCUGGAGCUGUCUCUUCUUCAUCGUGUGUCCGAUGCAGGGCCAGGCAGCUGCCCGUGGUGGUUCAGAGUAAGGACAUGGAAAUGCAAAUGAAAACUACCAGACACGUCUAUUCCUUCAUCAGAAUGACUAACACUAAAAAGACUGACCAUAGCAAGUGUUGGUGAGGAUGUGGAAUGACUAAAACACUCAUACGCUUCUGAUGGGAAUGCAAAAUGAUACAGUACAGCACGUGGGAACACACUUUGGCAGUGUAUUAGAAAGUUAAAUGUGCACUUUACCAUAUGACCCAGCCAUCCACUCCUAGGUCCUUUCAAAAGUGAAAUGAAAACAGAUAUCUACUCAAAGACUUGUACACGAAUGCUCAGAGCAGCAUUAUUCAUGUAAGCCAAAAAGUGGAAGCAACUGAAAUGUCCAUCAAUAGCUGAAUGGAUCAACAAAAUGUGGUCUGUCUAUGCAAUGGAAUUAUAUUUGGCCAUAAAAAAGGAAUGAAGUACUGAUAGAUGUUAUAACGUGUAUGAACCUUGAAAACAUUCUGCCAAGUGAAAGAAGGGAGCGAUGAAAGACCACAUAUUGUAGGACUCCAUUUAGAUGAAAUGUCCAGAAUAGGCAAAUCUAUAGAGACACAAAGUAGAUUCAUGGCUGCCCGGGGCUGGAAGGAGGAAAGAAUGAGGAAUAACCACUAAUGGGUAGGGGCGUUUUUUUUGGGGUGCUGAAAAUGUUCUCAAAUUGAUUGUGGUGAUGCUUGCACAAGUCUGUGAAUAUAUUUUUAAAAAUGCUCAGUUGUAUACUUUAAAAGAGUGAAUUGGAUGGUAUGUGAGUUAUAGCUCAAUAAAGCAGGUACACGCACACGUACAUAGUGGCGAUGAGGACAUGACUCAAGCUUGACGCAAGCAGUCACGCAGCGCGAGGAGUCCCAUAAUUAGGCCUGCAGAUUGAAUCGGGCUGUGGAAUCUUGUUUGGC